Molecule: ribosomal RNA, 369 nt
Filed under: uncultured bacterium
Lineage: Bacteria
Description: bacterial SSU rRNA
Rfam family: Bacterial small subunit ribosomal RNA
Source: RNAcentral
GUAGGGUGCGAGCGUUAAUCGGAAUUACUGGGCGUAAAGCGUGCGCAGGCGGUAAGUUAAGUCUGAUGUGAAAGCCCCGGGCUCAACCUGGGAAUGGCAUUGGAAACUGGCUUGCUAGAGUGUGGCAGAGGGGGGUGGAAUUCCGCGUGUAGCAGUGAAAUGCGUAGAGAUGCGGAGGAACACCGAUGGCGAAGGCAGCCCCCUGGGCCAACACUGACGCUCAGGCACGAAAGCGUGGGGAGCAAACAGGAUUAGAUACCCUGGUAGUCCACGCCCUAAACGAUGUCAACUGGGUGUUGGGGAAGCGAUUCCUUGGUACCGUAGCUAACGCGUGAAGUUGACCGCCUGGGGAGUACGGCCGCAAGGUUA